RNAcentral lists this small RNA (131 nucleotides) under Salmonella enterica subsp. enterica serovar Blockley. RNAcentral describes it as "RtT sRNA". It matches the Rfam family "RtT RNA". From Rfam's summary of the family: This family represents a bacterial cis-regulatory element known as RtT RNA. The exact function of RtT is unknown although it is thought that it may be involved in changing the cellular response in relation to amino acid starvation. Lineage: Bacteria; Pseudomonadati; Pseudomonadota; Gammaproteobacteria; Enterobacterales; Enterobacteriaceae. The record is from RNAcentral.
AUAUCUCUCUGUACGGGAAGGAUGAGAAGCUUCGACCAAGGUUCGAUUCGAGCGCAGCGAGAAAGCGUUGCCGCAGGCAACGACCCGAAGGGCGAAGCGCGCAGCGCUGAGUAAUCCAUCCCCCCCCACCC